AACGAACGCUGGCGGCAUGCCUAACACAUGCAAGUCGAACGAGACCUUCGGGUCUAGUGGCGCACGGGUGCGUAACGCGUGGGAACCUGCCCUUAGGUUCGGAAUAACUCCCCGAAAGGGGUGCUAAUACCGGAUAAUGUCUUCGGACCAAAGAUUUAUCGCCUUUGGAUGGGCCCGCGUUGGAUUAGCUAGUUGGUAGGGUAAAAGCCUACCAAGGCGACGAUCCAUAGCUGGUCUGAGAGGAUGAUCAGCCACACUGGGACUUAGGCACGGCCCAGACUCCUACGGGAGGCAGCAGUGGGGAAUAUUGGACAAUGGGCGAAAGCCUGAUCCAGCAAUGCCGCGUGAGUGAUGAAGGCCUUAGGGUUGUAAAGCUCUUUUACCCGGGAUGAUAAUGACAGUACCGGGAGAAUAAGCUCCGGCUAACUCCGUG
This 433-nucleotide ribosomal RNA is filed under the name uncultured bacterium. RNAcentral's name for it is "partial 16S ribosomal RNA". It matches the Rfam family "Bacterial small subunit ribosomal RNA", at positions 29 to 507 of the family's 1533-position model. The record is from RNAcentral.